UGGAUCCAGACUUUGAUUCUGGCUCAGGAUGAACGCUGGCGGCGUGCCUAACACAUGCAAGUCGAACGAAGCUUGACGGAUGAUUUCUUCGGAAUGAAACCAGAUACGACUUAGUGGCGGACGGGUGAGUAACACGUGAGCAACCUGCCUUUCAGAGGGGGAUAACGGCUGGAAACGGUCGCUAAUACCGCAUGAUGUGUUCGGAUGGCAUCAUCUGAACAUCAAAGAUUUAUCGCUGAAAGAUGGGCCCGCGUCUGAUUAGAUAGUUGGUGGGGUAACGGCCUACCAAGUCUACGAUCAGUAGCCGGACUGAGAGGUUGAACGGCCACAUUGGGACUGAGAUACGGCCCAGACUCCUACGGGAGGCAGCAGUGGGGAAUAUUGCACAAUGGGGGAAACCCUGAUGCAGCAACGCCGCGUGAAGGAUGACGGUUUUCGGAUUGUAAACUUCUUUUCUUAGUGACGAAGACAGUGACGGUAGCUAAGGAAUAAGCAUCGGCUAACUACGUGCCAGCAGCCGCGGUAAUACGUAGGAUGCAAGCGUUAUCCGGAUUUACUGGGUGUAAAGGGAGCGCAGGCGGGACUGCAAGUUGGAUGUGAAAUACCGUGGCUUAACCACGGAACUGCAUCCAAAACUGUAGUUCUUGAGUGAAGUAGAGGCAAGCGGAAUUCCGAGUGUAGCGGUGAAAUGCGUAGAUAUUCGGAGGAACACCAGUGGCGAAGGCGGCUUGCUGGGCUUUAACUGACGCUGAGGCUCGAAAGUGUGGGGAGCAAACAGGAUUAGAUACCCCGGUAGUCCACACUGUAAACGAUGAUAGCUAGGUGUGGGGGGGUCUGACCCCUUCCGUGCCGGAGUUAACGCAAUAAGCUAUCCACCUGGGGAGUACGACCGCAAGGUUGCAACUCAAAUGAAUUGACGGA
This 921-nucleotide ribosomal RNA is filed under the name uncultured Bacillota bacterium. RNAcentral's name for it is "bacterial SSU rRNA". It matches the Rfam family "Bacterial small subunit ribosomal RNA", at positions 1 to 917 of the family's 1533-position model. The record is from RNAcentral. Lineage: Bacteria; Bacillati; Bacillota.